This 678-nucleotide ribosomal RNA is filed under the name Triticum aestivum (bread wheat). RNAcentral's name for it is "partial small subunit ribosomal RNA". Lineage: Eukaryota; Viridiplantae; Streptophyta; Magnoliopsida; Poales; Poaceae. The record is from RNAcentral.
AUGACUUUAAAUAGUAUUGAACCCACUAUCUCGGAUUUCAAGGAAUUUGAUUAUGAUAAUUGUUCUUUAAAAGGUCGUAUUUCCUUGUUGCAAUCCAUUGUUAAUUCUCCACAUGCUUAUAGUCAAAAUAAAGCUUUUACCAAACAUAUUGUUGAUGCCUUGAUGCAAUCUUAUGAUGAAAAACUUAAUUUGGAAGUUUCUAUACCUAGAAAACGUAAUGAUGAGUGGGAACCUACUAUAAAUAUUAGAAUUAAAGAUCAUGAGUGUUUUGCUUUGUGUGAUUUGGGUGCUAGUGUUUCCACGAUUCCGAAAACUUUAUGUGAUAUUCUAGGCUUCCAUGAUCUUGAUGAUUGCUCGUUAAAUUUGCACCUUGUGGAUUCCACCAUUAAAAAGCCAAUGGGAAGGAUCAAUGAUGUUCUAAUUGUUGUAAAUAUAAAUUUUGUGCCCGUUGAUUUUAUCGUUCUUGAUAUAGAUUGCAAUCUUUCUUGCCCUAUUAUUCUUGGUAGACCUUUCCUUAGAACGAUUGGCGCGAUUAUUGAUAUGAAGGAAGGGAAUAUUAGAUUCCAAUUUCCACUAAAGAAAGGCAUGGAACACUUUCCAAGAAAGAAAGUCAAAUUACCUUAUGAAUCUAUCAUGCGGGCUACUUAUGAAUCAAGUGCCAAAGAUGGCACUCGUUAG